RNAcentral lists this ribosomal RNA (501 nucleotides) under uncultured bacterium. Its description in RNAcentral is "partial 16S ribosomal RNA". It matches the Rfam family "Bacterial small subunit ribosomal RNA", at positions 30 to 523 of the family's 1533-position model. The record is from RNAcentral.
AUUGAACGCUGGCGGCAGGCUUAACACAUGCGAGUCGAGCGGGGGAAGGUAGCUUGCUACCGGACCUAGCGGCGGACGGGUGAGUAAUGCUUAGGAAUCUGCCUAUUAGUGGGGGACAACAACUCGAAAGGGAUGCUAAUACCGCAUACGUCCUACGGGAGAAAGCAGGGGAUCUUCGGACCUUGCGCUAAUAGAUGAGCCUAAGUCGGAUUAGCUAGUUGGUGGGGUAAAGGCCUACCAAGGCGACGAUCUGUAGCGGGUCUGAGAGGAUGAUCCGCCACACUGGGACUGAGACACGGCCCAGACUCCUACGGGAGGCAGCAGUGGGGAAUAUUGGACAAUGGGGGGAACCCUGAUCCAGCCAUGCCGCGUGUGUGGAGAAGGCCUUAUGGUUGUAAAGCACUUUAAGCGAGGAGGAGGCUACUUUAGUUAAUACCUAGAGAUAGUGGACGUUACUCGCAGAAUAAGCACCGGCUAACUCUGUGCCAGCCGCCGCAGUAA